CUUGUCCAACUUGUGAUGGAAAAUUGCAGUGCUUCUUGGGUGUUCCUGGUCUGUAGUGAUCAGUAUCAAUGAAAAGUGGUCCAAGGAAGCAACAGCAGUGAACUAGUGACAGCAACUUCCAGGAACCGACCUCACCAACCAGCUGAGGAAUACACAUUUUUCCUGCACUACUAGUGGUGUAUGAUGUCCAGUAUAGAAGACAAGAAAACUAACACAAACAGCUGUUAAAGACACUGUGAAAGCUGAUGGACAACUUACUGGACCAA
Pundamilia nyererei is the source of this 266-nucleotide long non-coding RNA. RefSeq lists it as uncharacterized. NCBI's taxonomy places the organism in Eukaryota, Metazoa, Chordata, Actinopteri, Cichliformes, Cichlidae. The record is from RefSeq and is a predicted model, not a curated record. The transcript has 3 exons.